RNAcentral lists this ribosomal RNA (253 nucleotides) under uncultured bacterium. Its description in RNAcentral is "partial 16S ribosomal RNA". It matches the Rfam family "Bacterial small subunit ribosomal RNA", at positions 524 to 776 of the family's 1533-position model. The record is from RNAcentral.
UACAGAGGUCCCAAGCGUUGUUCGGAUUCACUGGGCGUAAAGGGUGCGUAGGUGGUCGGCUAAGUCUGAUGUGAAAUCUCCGAGCUUAACUCGGAAACUGCAUCGGAUACUAAUCGGCUCGAGGGUUGGAGGGGGGACUGGAAUACUUGGUGUAGCAGUGAAAUGCGUAGAUAUCAAGUGGAACACCAGUGGCGAAGGCGAGUCCCUGGACAACUCCUGACACUGAGGCACGAAAGCUAGGGGAGCAAACAGG